CUACACUACAGCUGGCUCAUAACCAUCUCUCCUCCCUGCCUGUCUGCCACUGCCAUAUCCAGUGUUUCCUAGGAAAUUAGCCGUAACCCAGAGGAAUUUGCUGCUGGAUUCUCUUGCACAGAGCCAGACUGCUAUCUCUUCUACACUGAGAGAGAGGGAGAUCCUGGAAUCCUGAAGAUACACAGGAUUACUCAGUCUCUAAAAGCUUCAGGAAAUCUUCAAAUCUUCACUUAAGGAAAGAUCUUUUCACUACUUUAGGAACUUUCACAAGUAUGGCAAGCUGCGGCUCCUGUUUCUGGGCCAUUAUCUGGCUGAUUGUGCUGUUGAUGCUGGGCUGGCCUCUCAGUAUCUUCCUGGGUGGGCUGUAUGGCCUCAUCGUGCCUCUCACGGCCUGCCUUGGGCUCGAUCGACUGUCAGACCUUCUGCUAGAAGGAGCCAACCUGGGCCGGACCUGCGCCCAGAACAUGAGACAUGGAAAGCCCCUGUGCUGAGAAUAAAGCCCACCUAUUUACCCUGGAGACGUACCUGUAAAGAGCUUUGUUUUGUUUAGUGCUGAACAAUAUUGUCAAAAUUGGUAUUACAGUUUAUUUCUUAAUUUCGAUUGAUCAUUUUUCCCAUAUGAUAUGAACAGUAUAAAAGCCACCACACUUGAUAGAACUGGGCUAUUUCUAAUAUGGUCUCUAUUGGCUAAUCUUUUGAUACAAAGUAUUUAUUGUGUUUUGACUUACAGACUAAAAUGCAACAGGAGUGUCAGAUUAUUUUAAAAUCAUAUUCAAACACUUUUUUAUGCAUAGUUUAGUGAUUUAUGUUUUUUUUUUUUGCUGCACAUGAUUCAAUUUAACAGGAUUUUUUCACACUUUCUGAAAUGAAUGUACAGGUGGGUCAGCAUUCUUUAAACAGAGAUAAUUCUUGAUAGGCAUAUUGUUUAUAUGAUAAGAGAAUUUAUGACAAUAUGAUAAAAUAGAUAUAUUGACCAGCUAUAGUUGUAUUUAACUGCAUAAAUUGUAAUUUUGUCUGGUAAUAACUUAACAGUGUUGUACAAAAUACAUAAACUGACAUGUCUGUAGCUUUUAUAUUUUUUUGUAUAAACUGGUGCUCAUUACUUUCAUUUGAACAACCAGCAGCAAUUCAUGGUUGCAAAAAUGUAAAUGCCUUUAAUGAAUUUUCUGGCCAGAAAGAAGCCAAAAAUACUACAUUUAAUAAAAGAAAUUCAGGUUUUGUGUGUCA
Long non-coding RNA from Astyanax mexicanus (Mexican tetra), 1227 nucleotides. RefSeq lists it as uncharacterized. The transcript has 2 exons. The record is from RefSeq and is a predicted model, not a curated record. NCBI's taxonomy places the organism in Eukaryota, Metazoa, Chordata, Actinopteri, Characiformes, Acestrorhamphidae.